Molecule: long non-coding RNA, 707 nt
Organism: Coccinella septempunctata (seven-spotted ladybird)
Lineage: Eukaryota; Metazoa; Arthropoda; Insecta; Coleoptera; Coccinellidae
Exons: 2
Source: RefSeq, a predicted model, not a curated record
UGCUACUAAAAACCUCCUUAUCCACUCGACUCUCAACUGUGUGAAUAAAAGCGAGGAAUAACAGUUUUAUGAGAUGAAUCUUUAUCUUCGCAUGCAUCCUAAAAUGAAACGAUAAAAAUUUAUGGAUUAUCAGAGAUUGGAAACUUUCAACUGCAAUUAUGAAAUUAUUAGAUUUUUCGACAUUAACUUCCUAAUCCUAUUCUUGAUUGUAUAUCCAGCCAUUUAUUUCUUCUUCAACUAUUUAAUGUGAAUCAGGAUUUUCUCGUCAUAGAUUUUGAAAUGUGACAUUUCGUUUGAAAAAUAAACACUUCAAAAUUACAGUUUUAGUUCGAAUUCCUAAGAUGAACGGGUUGAGAUGAGAUGAAGGGUUGAUUUUAUGGCUCCCCAGUUUGUGUUGGGUAUACUUCUGGGACUUUUGAUUUGCUAUUACCUAUAUUGCCCAGAUGAUGUCCUCGAUAGAGUUACGUGGCUAUUCUACAACUUCGCGUACGGUUAAAACUAUUGAAAUCUGGAAUGUUUCGAACCAAUUGGCACUUCAACAUUGAACAAUGCAAAUUGGUAAACGGUGGAUUUGGGUGUGCUUGAUCAUUUUGAUCUGUUUCUGGAUUGCUAUGCAUGAGGAGCUCCUUCAGUUUGUAACUGAUUUGAUGAAGUGAAUGUAAUGAAGACAUCAACAAAAAUAUGAAUAUUAUCGACUAUUUGCAUUA